Molecule: ribosomal RNA, 433 nt
Filed under: uncultured bacterium
Lineage: Bacteria
Description: partial 16S ribosomal RNA
Rfam family: Bacterial small subunit ribosomal RNA
Source: RNAcentral
AACGAACGCUGGCGGCAUGCCUAACACAUGCAAGUCGAACGAGACCUUCGUGUCUAGUGGCGCACGGGUGCGUAACGCGUGGGAACCUGCCCUUAGGUUCGGAAUAACUCCCCGAAAGGGGUGCUAAUACCGGAUAAUGUCUUCGGACCAAAGAUUUAUCGCCUUUGGAUGGGCCCGCGUUGGAUUAGCUAGUUGGUAGGGUAAAAGCCUACCAAGGCGACGAUCCAUAGCUGGUCUGAGAGGAUGAUCAGCCACACUGGGACUGAGACACGGCCCAGACUACUACGGGAGGCAGCAGUGGGGAAUAUUGGAAAAUGGGCGAAAGCCUGAUCCAGCAAUGCCGCGUGAGUGAUGAAGGCCUUAGGGUUGUAAAGCUCUUUUACCCGGGAUGAUAAUGACAGUACCGGGAGAAUAAGCUCCGGCUAACUCCGUG